Molecule: ribosomal RNA, 253 nt
Filed under: uncultured bacterium
Lineage: Bacteria
Description: partial 16S ribosomal RNA
Rfam family: Bacterial small subunit ribosomal RNA
Source: RNAcentral
UACGAAGGGGGCGAGCGUUGUUCGGAAUUACUGGGCGUAAAGGGCGCGUAGGCGGCCCUGUCAGUCAGAUGUGAAAGCCCCGGGCUCAACCUGGGAACCGCAUUUGAUACUGCAGGGCUUGAGUUCCGGAGAGGAUGGUGGAAUUCCCAGUGUAGAGGUGAAAUUCGUAGAUAUUGGGAAGAACACCGGUGGCGAAGGCGGCCAUCUGGACGGACACUGACGCUGAGGCGCGAAAGCGUGGGGAGCAAACAGG